Molecule: ribosomal RNA, 1566 nt
Filed under: Triticum aestivum (bread wheat)
Lineage: Eukaryota; Viridiplantae; Streptophyta; Magnoliopsida; Poales; Poaceae
Description: partial small subunit ribosomal RNA
Source: RNAcentral
AUGGCGAUGAUACUCUUGGAUGCAGCAGGGAGUUCCUCCGUCUCACCACCUCCCACGCAUGAUGAUGAACACGAUGAGGGGCUUGCGCUCGCUAUCAUUGCUGGCCAACAGCCUAUGGCGGUCAAUGAAUGCGAUGAUCCGGAAAGCGAGGUCGAUUUUGUCCCUCUCAGGGUCGUGAGGCCAGACGACGAGCAGCAAAAGCGCCCCGGUGGGCGGGUUAAAGUAUGUGCACAUAAACCUAAAACAAAGAAAAGGAACAGAGGUAGGCCGGCACGCGUCAGGUCUGCUAAGAGUAAUAUGUGGUGUAAACCGGAGUUUGUCUGCAACGACAACAUCAACAUUACCAGUAGUGAGACCGAGAGCGAGGGAAACAAAGACGAUGAUUAUGUUCCGACGGGGAAGAGAGGAAGGCAGGCACGCGCCAAGUCUGCAAAGACAAAGACGUGGCGAAAACCAGGGUUUGUUUACAGCGACAACUACAACAUUAGCAGCAGUGAGAGCGAGGGAAACAAAGAUGAUGAUUAUGAUCCGAUGGCACCUGAUGCUGAUGGCCACCCAAAGAAAUGUGCAAGAUCUCGAGUGUGUUUGACUCACACAACUGAAUGUACGAAUAAAAGAUCUCGAGGGAGGCCCGCACGCGCCAAGUCUGCUAAGAGCAAGAUGUGGCGUAACCCGGAGUUUGUUUGCGGCGACAACAUCAACAUUAGUAGCAGUAGUGAGAGCGAGAUUGAAAGAAACAACAAUGAUGAUGAUUAUGACCCGACGACACCUGAUGCUGAUGGCCACCGAAACAAAUAUGAAAGUUUCCAAGAUAUGCGUGGCUCUGCUUUUGAAAGAGCUUCGGAGGUAAAUAAGAAAUUGCCAAGAACAGAAGUAAGCUUGGUCAGGCGUAUGCUACCGUCACAUGUUGACAGGGUUUUUUGGAUGGGUCUCCCGCGUAGCUUUUGCAGACAGCAUCUUCCAAAGCAAGAUACUGUAAUGACUUUAGAAGACGAGGAAGGGCGCAGCUACCCUGCAAACUACCUUGUGGCAAGAGAUGGUCUUAGUGGUGGUUGGAAACACUUUGCGGAAGAUCAUAGACUCAAGGUCGACGACGCCCUGGUCUUUCGACUCGUGGGCUCGGAAAAAUUCAAGGUGUAUAUAGUAAGAGAGGGUGAGUUGACAACAACAGAUUAUGAUGUCAGGUCUAAGGAAGAGGAUGCGGAGGUUACAACCAGCACAACAACCUGUGAUGAUAUCAACAACCUAGCAGCCGGCGAAAAAGAUAAUGUCGACGUCAUGAUAUCUCCAGACGAUUCAGAGCCAGACGGCGGUGUUGACAGCAUGGUGAGCUUCAGCAGCUUCAACAUAGUCGUCAACAGUGUGCUGGACACCAACCGUGAAUUGUUCCCGGACCACCUGCGCGCGACAUACUACAAGCUCUGUCUUGCCCAGAAGGCGUGCCUCCACCGGAACCUGCUUGAGGAGGUGAACCCCAAGAUGGCUAUCGGAGCCAUGGUGGAGACCGCUAGCAUCGCCGAGGGCGUCAGGGCCUCCUCGCCCGCUUCUCGCGAGGACCUUGCGUAG